AAAAACAUUAAGAAAAGUUUUCGGGAAAAAAAAAGCCAAAACCCUCUUCCUUAAUCGCCGCCUGUCUAGCUGCCUCCACCGCAGCUGGAGCUACAUUGACAUCCCAUAACCGCCGCCGGAGCUACCUCUCCUCAACGUAAUUAAUUGGAAAAAUCUAAGUUCUUUAAUUGAAGUCUGCCACUUUCUCCCUCUACCCUUCAAUCCCAUUUAUCUCUCUUACAACCUAAUUCUUCAAACAUGUAGAGCCAUAUUUUUUCUCAGGUACAAUUUAUCUGGUAUGGAUUUUAGCAAUAGCAAUACGGUGCUGUUUGAGCUUCCUUGGUCUUAUUACUAGUUGUUAAGGAAACAAGUUGAUGCAUUUCUUCUGCAAGCGUGUAUAUGCUGUACUUCCUUUUCAGCCAUUAACCCUAGUUGGUCGAAAGUAAAAACGAAAAGGAAGAUCAACAGGCCAGUCAAUUCAUUGGUAGGGACCGGAAAAUACUUCAUGGUGGAACCGCUAGAUGACUUUGAUGUGUUAUUGCUGAUGUUGGUUUCUGCAAGCAUCUCAGGUUGAAGGAAUUUCUUUUUUGUUGAAGCAUGGAAGUUGUCAGUUUCUGUCAAAACCAGAAAUUUGUAAACAGAAGUUCUAUAUUAUCGGUUUACAUCUUCAUUAGGGGAUUCUCUCUCUGGUCAAUGAAGAAAAUCCCAGAACUUGAAUCUGCUCUAUCCCACAAUCGGCGUUGGAUUGUGAACAAUCAAAUUAAGAAUAUAAUCCUUAGAUACCCCAACCAGGUAGUACCCGUAAACUUCCUCCAGAAAAAGUUCAAGACCCUUGAUCUUCAAGGCAAAGCUCUUAAUUGGCUGAACAAAUAUCCAUGUUGCUUUGAGGUCUUUCGCGAAAACGAUGAACUUUACUGCCAACUUACAAAACGAAUGAUGUCCCUAGUAGAGGAGGAAGAGUCCAUCAAGGAAGAGCAGGAGCCUGUAUUUGCUGAGCGGUUAGCAAAGAUCUUGAUGAUGAGCUCAAACCAGAGGCUUAAUGUGGUAAAGCUUGAUGAGUUGAAGCGGAAUUUCGGCUUCCCAGAUGAUUAUUUAAUUAGAAUUGUUCCCAAAUAUUCAGAAAUGUUUCGGUUGAUCAAUUACAGUGGAAGGAGAAGUUCACUGGAGGUUGAGCUUAUAUCAUGGAAACCUGAGUUAGCAUGUUCUUGCAUUGAAUUGUCAUCAAGAAAGCAGAAUACAGAGCCUCGUUUUUCAUGUUUGUUGCCAUCAACAUGGGUUAAAUCUUGGGAAAGGUUUAAUGAGUUCAAUUCAACACCAUACAUUUCACCUUACACAAAUCUAAACAACUUAGUUGAAGGAUCAAAGGAUCACGAGAAAAGGACGGUUGCCUUGGUGCAUGAAUUGCUGGCUCUGACUCUUUGGAAGAAAAUCUCGAUCGUAAAGCUUACCCACCUCAGGCGAGAAUUUGCGUUGCCCGAAAAGUUAAAUGUUUUGCUGUUAAAACACCCGGGUAUAUUUUAUGUAACAAACAAGUAUAGAAUAUACACGGUUCUUCUCCGAGAGGGAUAUAAUGGCUCCAAGCUGAUUGACAAGGACCCACUUGUUGUGGUCAAGGAUAAAUUUGGGGAACUAAUGCAAGAGGGACUGCACGAGUAUAAUCAGCGAAGACGUUUAUUGAACCUAGAGAAGAGGAAGAAGAAGGGUGUAAUUGUACCUAAAUUGGAGAAAAGGAAGGACAAGAACGGGGAUAUAUCUGAAGAGGAAGAUCAAGAACAUAAGGUUGGACGUCUAUUCGAUCCCGAGGAAAGGAAAAGGUUUUACAAAAUCCUAUUUGAAGAGGACUCCUAAAGUUCUGUGGUGGUGUUCCUUUAAUUGGGCAUUCGUUGGAUUGACAGUUUCGUGAUUCUUUGUAAGUGUCUCCGAUCCGACCUUAUGUUUAUAGUUAUCCAUUUUUGAUUAAGAUUUCAUAUGAUGAAUAUUUGAAUUAGUUUGAAAAAUGCAAUUGAUAGGGAAAUACAGGUUUAUUGUUCUCCCUCUUUUUCCCUUUUGAUCUAUUGGCAUUAUAUCGUGUCAGUUGUGUCGUAAAUGUUUUCAAUUAUACCGAAUUUGUAUUACCCUCAUUGUAAAAGUGUAACAAACGGCACUUGAGGCCAAUUCAAGGGAUAUUUCAUAAUUUUUAGCCUUUUGGUUGAUAUCUGGCGGUACGAUGACCGCAUCAUCCCCGUUACCGCAUUGCCGUUUCUGUUGUUGCAAUGGUUUUUGCAUUUUGGCAGUGAGUUUUUCUAGUAAUUAAUUACUUCGUAUUUUAUGCACCUCGGAUUUCUGCUCCAAAAUGUUGUAACUAGGGCUAAAUGUUUCGUGAUGGCCAAAUUUGUGUGCCUUCAAUACCUCUACCCUCGAGAUUCAAGAUAAGAAUACAUUUAAUGCCAUUGAAUGUAUGAUGUUUGGGCCAUUGGGGAAUAUCAUUUACUCACUCAAUUUAAUCUACGCGCAGUUGCAAGUGCAAAGUUUAUAAAGAACUAUAUCAUCGGAAUCUGAUGUACAGAAUGUGGCUCUAAAUCGUUCUUCCUCGUAUUCAUAUGUUAUCCUGCACAACAGGAAGGAUUCUUGGAGCUCUACAGAGAAGCAGCAACCUUUCAAUGGGAUAGCAUGCGCCUUCUUGGAGCAAGAUUUGAGCAUAUCACAAAAUUUCGGUUAUUUCGUGUUUCAGAGUUUGCGGUCAAUCGACGUAUAUUUUGGUUGUGAUAAACUCAUAAACCUUUACAAUCCUGCGUUUUUUUUUGCGCUAUGAUUUUGUGGGGAAAAUGUGAGGUUUCAAGAUUUCGAAGUUCUCACUGAGUAUAAUUCAACAUUGUAUAGAAUAACAUCAAUGUUCAAAUAUUAUGGGCAUUCAAUUACUGAUGUUGAAAUGAUAUAACUUGUUUUUUCCU
Molecule: RNA transcript, 2909 nt
Organism: Amaranthus tricolor (Joseph's coat)
Lineage: Eukaryota; Viridiplantae; Streptophyta; Magnoliopsida; Caryophyllales; Amaranthaceae
Gene name: protein WHAT'S THIS FACTOR 1 homolog, chloroplastic
Exons: 6
Source: RefSeq, a predicted model, not a curated record